GAGCGAGGGAAGGUCUCGCCGAGGGAAGAAGACAUGGCGAGAGGAGGCAGGCGGAAGGCCUACAAUCAUGGAUCCGCCUCCAUCCGAAGCGAAGAAGAGCGUUGGAGGCUGCCGGCCUCGGUGCGGCCAAGCGGGGACCCCUUGGCUUCACCAAACACCAUUGGUACCCGAAUUUAUGUCGCCGAGCCCAUCGGUCACUUAAAUGAGCCGCACCUAAUUUUUGACCUAGAUGAUGUUAAGUGAAUCGUGCGAACCCAGCUUUGUCUAUUGGAAGGUCGUAAACGGGGAUUGCGGGAUGCCGUAACAGUUUUGCUGAGCCCUCGAAUUUGGACUACGGGGACGCCACACGACCGUUGAGAAUCUAACCGUCUCUCGUCACCAUGGUGCUUGUCCCGUUGGAGGUGACGAAGAGGAUACCAAUUACCAUCAUCCCUGGCCCUUCUAGUCCUUCCUCAGGUAAGGCCCAGUGGGAUUGGGGGGCUGGGGGUUCGAAAACAUUGAUCCCUAAUUUUGCCCAACAUUUUAAAUUGACCUUAUUGGGUAGUCCCUGACUUACAACCUACGUGGAGCCUGGAAUUAUGCUCGCAAGCGGGGUUGGGGGAGUGAUGUGCUACCGGUUCACCCUGGUUUGACCGAACCGGUUGCUGGUUUUAUGGCCAGUCCGGCGAACUGGUAAAUCUCACCCUUGGCUGGCCCCGCC
Molecule: long non-coding RNA, 700 nt
Organism: Pseudonaja textilis
Lineage: Eukaryota; Metazoa; Chordata; Lepidosauria; Squamata; Elapidae
Source: RefSeq, a predicted model, not a curated record